Molecule: transfer RNA, 16 nt
Filed under: Lemiox rimosus
Lineage: Eukaryota; Metazoa; Mollusca; Bivalvia; Unionida; Unionidae
Description: partial tRNA-Leu
Source: RNAcentral
ACACCUCCCUUUACUA